UUUCUGUAACCAGCAGGCUCCGUUGUCCCGGGGAGCUGGCGAAGGGGGUGCCUGUGUCCAGGCCUGGGGGCUGCACCAGCUGUCUCCGGGGCUGGCCCAGGUCCCCACCACUCGGACGGGUCAGCGCAGUGAGCGCCCAGUCUGCUCGCACCUCCAGACGCACCCCCUUUCCAGCUCUUCUUCCUCCCCCACCCACAAUCCCAGGAUCAGAGAGCAAGCAAUGGUUUGGCCAAAAGGCAGGCCCACCUUCUGCACUGGACAACGAUGCUUCGGGGGCCCAGAAAGAGAGACAGGGGAGAAGGGACCGCUGAGAGGCCAACCAGGGGACGGUGAAGCAUGAGUGGGAGGCUUGCUCAGGCCAGCAGGACAGAAGGAGGAGAGGGUGCUACCAGCCCGAGGCCCAGGGUCAUGCUGCAGAAGCCCCAGCUACAGAAAUUUGCAGCAGCGACUGGGAGGGUGUUGGAGGUGGGGAUGCAACUGGAGGCUUCUUCCUGGCUCUGCCUCCAGGAUCCCGUCAGAGCAUGACGUCGGCCCAACCACGCGGAAGUCUUCUGCAACCCUCUGGCCAAAUAUGUGGGGAUCUGGCUUCAUUUGAACCAGGAAGUGUCAUCACCUAAAUGGACCGAUGAGCUGAUAGGAAGCUGGAGGAGAAAGCCAUCCGCAGGCCUCACCCCAGAGAACCGGCAGGAAAAUGCCCACCAGCAGGGAGGACCCAUCCUGGGCUCGGGGGCCCCCAACGCUCCCCGGCACCCGCACCUCCUCCAUCCCCUGUGUCACUUCUUGGGCCUCCCCUGGCCUCCUCACCAUGCUUAUGAGUCUACAAGGACAGAAAAGUCCCCGAACAUCACAACAAGGGCCCCUCCCCAAAAUGGUCCCGCUUAAAAACAUCGUGGUUCAACCUAACAUUCCCACAAAGGGGAAUGGUUCUAAAAAGAAAAGCUUUGAGCGCAUAGACGGUGGAGUUUUAAUCAUUCGAAACCUCGUAUGUGGAA
This is a long non-coding RNA of Equus quagga, 992 nucleotides long. RefSeq lists it as uncharacterized. The transcript has 3 exons. NCBI's taxonomy places the organism in Eukaryota, Metazoa, Chordata, Mammalia, Perissodactyla, Equidae. The record is from RefSeq and is a predicted model, not a curated record.